RNAcentral lists this ribosomal RNA (490 nucleotides) under uncultured bacterium. Its description in RNAcentral is "partial 16S ribosomal RNA". It matches the Rfam family "Bacterial small subunit ribosomal RNA", at positions 29 to 505 of the family's 1533-position model. The record is from RNAcentral.
AGUGAACGCUGGCGGUAGGCCUAACACAUGCAAGUCGAACGGCAGCACAGUAAGAGCUUGCUCUUACGGGGGGCGAGUGGCGGACGGGUGAGGAAUACAUCGGAAGCUACUUGUUCGUGGGGGAGAACGUAGGGAAACUUACGCUAUUACCGCAUAGGACCUACGGGUGAAAGCAGGGGAUCUUAGGACCUUGCGCGAUUGAAUGUGGCGGUGUCUGAUUAGUUGGGUGGGGGGGUAAAGCCGCCCCAAGGCGACGAUGCGUUGGGGGUCUGAGAGGAUGAACAGACACACUGACACAGAGACACGGUCCACACUCCUACGGGGGGCAGGAGUGGAGAAUUUGGGACAAUGGGCGCAAGCCAGAUACAGCCAUCCCGCGUGGGUGAAGAAGGCCUUCGGGUUGUAAAGCCCUUUUGUGGGGAAAGAAAAGCAGCAGGUUAAUACCCCGCUGUUCUGACGGUACACAAAGAAUAAGCACCGGCUAACUUCG